Molecule: ribosomal RNA, 247 nt
Filed under: uncultured bacterium
Lineage: Bacteria
Description: partial 16S ribosomal RNA
Rfam family: Bacterial small subunit ribosomal RNA
Source: RNAcentral
AUACGGAGGGUGCAAGCGUUAUCCGGAUUCACUGGGUUUAAAGGGUGCGUAGGCGGGCAGGUAAGUCAGUGGUGAAAGCCGGUAGCUUAACUAUCGAAAUGCCAUUGAUACUGCUAGGCUUGAGUACAGUUGAGGUAGGCGGAAUUGACAGUGUAGCGGUGAAAUGCUUAGAUAUUGUCAAGAACACCAAUUGCGAAGGCAGCUUACUAAAGUGUAACUGACGCUGAGGCACGAAAGUGCGGGGAUC